Molecule: long non-coding RNA, 236 nt
Filed under: Ananas comosus (pineapple)
Lineage: Eukaryota; Viridiplantae; Streptophyta; Magnoliopsida; Poales; Bromeliaceae
Description: long non-coding RNA (ACOM_LNC041025)
Source: RNAcentral
GCGAUAACAAUCCACUAAGAAUAAAAGAUUACAAGGUGAUUUACCGAUUCUACGGACUCGAGCCUCUCUUUUAUCUUCUCCGGAUCUCGCGCACACCAACGGGUUGUCCACGCCCCAUGUCCGAAUCCACGAACGUCACGUCCCAAAUCCACGAAACGUCCACACUUCGAAUCUGUAACAUACCACAUCUCUCGUAAAUCGUACCAAGUUCCGUCAAAGCGAACGGAACGUGAAAU